CCAUCUUGAAAAGAAGCUUAGUAUGAUCGACUUUCUCUCCUAUUAGGAAACUUUUCUUGUUGAAACCACAAGACAAGUUUUAAAGCCUCCUAGGGGUUACCGAGGACCUUAGAGCAGCAGAAGAUGGGGAGUUGAUAGUUAAAUCUUAAUCAAAGACCAUCAAGAAAUCGAGAAAGCAGUUUUUGACAUCUUCACGGUCCAGCCGUUUAAACGUUCACUCUUUGAAAAUAAGAUGAAAAAUAACCUAACUGAUGAAGAUGUCAUCAGCUGAACACUCUUAAGGAGCACCAGCAGUUAAGGAUGUCGUCUCUACUUGGCUCAAUUUUGGUUCUGUUGUGUUUAGGCACUGCGAGUGCUCUUG
Molecule: long non-coding RNA, 361 nt
Organism: Actinia tenebrosa (Australian red waratah sea anemone)
Lineage: Eukaryota; Metazoa; Cnidaria; Anthozoa; Actiniaria; Actiniidae
Source: RefSeq, a predicted model, not a curated record